Long non-coding RNA from Malania oleifera, 1742 nucleotides. RefSeq lists it as uncharacterized. The record is from RefSeq and is a predicted model, not a curated record. The transcript has 2 exons. NCBI's taxonomy places the organism in Eukaryota, Viridiplantae, Streptophyta, Magnoliopsida, Santalales, Ximeniaceae.
CUGAACAUAGAAACAAUACCACAAACUCUUGCUGAAAACCCUAGUUCUAGAGAGAGAGAGAGAGGGAGAAAAAGGGAGGGAUAACUGCAUAAACUCAGGGAAGUUCAGAGAAAAUACUCAUCAGAGGAAAACUUAGACUAAGUUGAAGAAGCUGAAAAUCAAGGGAUAGGCUAAAGGACUCUGUGGGCUGCAAGGGAUGCUAGUCAAUAGUAGAAGGAACAAAGAGAAAUAGAGUGGGAGAAAGGGACAAAUGACAACCAUCACAAGGCAUCACCAAGCCAAGGAUACCAUCAAACAUAAUUUCUUAAAUAUUCAAUGACUGAAAAUCAAUUACUACUAGAUAUUUACAGGACCAAUGCUCGAGCUCAAGCAGAAAUCCUAGAUACUAGUCUCCAAAAUUAGAAGACCUGAAUAUUUUAGAAAUGUUUUUGCACUUGGAAGAAGAACUAGAAAAGGGAAUAAAUAUUGUGAUAAUUAGAUUCUACUCAGAUUUGGUGCUAAAAUACCCAUGGAAAUUUAAAAAACUGAAAAUAAGUAAAAUUACAGUAAUUUACUACAAAAUAGAAAUUCUAAAAUUAGUAAACUUGACUUUGCACUUGAACUUGAAUCCCCUGUGGAAAAGCAAGACAUGAACUACAGAAAAUUACUAGGCACAACUUUCUUAUGUUUAUUAAUAGUGGCUAACAGCAUUUACAAAGUAUAAUUCCACAUAUUGAUCUCAUAGACAAUAUACGUUAAUUAUUGCAACCAUUUUCACUGCCAAGAUGUUCCCAUCUCCAAAGACAGUGAAUGCAAAAAAAUAAAAAUUAUGUACAAACAAAUCAAUUUAAUCAUUUUCAUCCUGAUUUAAGAUAUUGGCUUGAUUCAUCUUGAUGUAAACAAGGUAUGCUCCCCAUAUACAGCUCAAGUGCACAAAUAAUUUAAGAAGCAAUAUAUCAGUAACUUAUCACAAGUAUCAAACAAUAGCUUCAAAUAUCAUAACUCAGAACUAUGUGCUGCAAAUGACGAUAUGUUACCAUUUAAAUUUUAAUGCAUAAUCAUCCCAUUUUAUGAAGAAAGAUAUAUGGUUUUACGGGCAAGAAUAUGAUUAGAUUUUAUUAAUCAAAUCUCCCUUCCCAAAGAAGAGAAAUAAAUUGAGAAGAGGAUUUACAAUUUAUUUUGCAAUGAAAUAUCACAUGUUAUUUACAUGCAUAAAUAUGGGUGUGUAUAUAUAGUGAAUGGGUAAAUGAUAAAAACUUAUAAGCUGGUUGGUUUGGGUGCAUAGAUAUUACAAGAAGACAAAUGACAGUGAAGUUAAUGAUGAUACUUAGCUUUUUUUUAUAUUCUAUGAUCAUGGAAAGUAUUUCACAUUUAAAAGACAUAGCAGUAUAAUAGACACCAAAAUAGCACAAGCUCGUGAAAUUAUUAGUCAAUAGUAUAUUUGGUAAAGAAGGGGAGCUUAGGCACAACUGUAAGGUUGUCACCGUAUGACCUAGAGGUCACGGGUUCAAGGCGUGGAAAUAGACUCUUACAAAAAUGCAAGGUAAGACUGCGUACUAUAGACCCAUUGUGGUCUGCCCCUUCCCCAGACCCCACAUAUGCGGGAGCUUUGUCCACCGCGCUGCCCUUUUAUUUUUUUAAGUAUAUUUGGUAAAUUUUCUAAUUUACCAUUUUCAUUGUGCCAAUUGCAUUUUUUUUUUCAAUUUUUAUGAAUUGCUUAUGUAGCAUGGUUUACCAUCCAAUACUAAGUUGUAUCAUUGAUA